RNAcentral lists this unclassified non-coding RNA (380 nucleotides) under Ficus ingens. Its description in RNAcentral is "partial contains external transcribed spacer and 18S ribosomal RNA". The stretch from base 325 to 380 matches the Rfam family "Eukaryotic small subunit ribosomal RNA", at positions 1 to 56 of the family's 1831-position model. Lineage: Eukaryota; Viridiplantae; Streptophyta; Magnoliopsida; Rosales; Moraceae. The record is from RNAcentral.
GGUUCCUGUGUUGCCUUCCCAUCGUGUGGAAAAAUUCGUCAGACAGCCCCGCACCUGUCCUCCUUGUGGCUUUGCGGCUGCAAUGCGGACCUCGAAGGCAGUCCCCGUGUCCCGGACAUAUCCUCUGACUUUUGUCGUGGCUGUCUCGGUCCACAGGACAACUGCUCGUGCUCUCGGAUGUGGAAAAUUAAGCGGACGUGGGGGGGUCUUGGCCUCCGGUUGCUCCAAUCAAGUCCCUCGAUAAGAAUGACUCUCGCUACCUCAUUGAUCGCAGGCCGUCUAGGCCCGUGGCAUCAAUGAUGGUCCGAAGUCGAUAACGAAUGCUACCUGGUUGAUCCUGCCAGUAGUCAUAUGCUUGUCUCAAAGAUUAAGCCAUGCAU